UUUUUGCCAGACAUCCAAGAUACAUUUCAGUUUGAGACCUCUCUGCUCUCUCGCUAGAUGGAUGUCCUGAGGCAGAAGGGUGCUAUCCUCUGGCUUUCUCACAUCAGGAAUGUCCACUUCAGAACUAGGAGAAGAGAGGCAACAGGAACAAACAUGGAUAGGAAAUGAAAUGUCUCAAAUUCUGUGAGAAAAUUAACAACAUGCAAGGUCUCACAGGUGCCACUGAACUACAUCUGUGCACUUCUUUUGCAGAAGAGGUCGUAUUUACAAGGAGCCAUCUCGUGAGGAUUUAUCAAUAAUUAAGCGUGACAGGGCACUGCAUAAAAACACCUGAGAAUGGAUGCAAACAAUGUACUGGGGAGAGCGACAAUAAAACAGG
This 379-nucleotide long non-coding RNA is filed under the name Numida meleagris (helmeted guineafowl). RNAcentral describes it as "lncRNA (ENSNMEG00000007170.1)". Lineage: Eukaryota; Metazoa; Chordata; Aves; Galliformes; Numididae. The record is from RNAcentral.